Molecule: ribosomal RNA, 507 nt
Filed under: uncultured bacterium
Lineage: Bacteria
Description: partial 16S ribosomal RNA
Rfam family: Bacterial small subunit ribosomal RNA
Source: RNAcentral
GACGAACGCUGGCGGCGUGCCUAAUACAUGCAAGUCGAACGCAUUUUCUUUCACCGUAGCUUGCUACACCGAAAGAAAAUGAGUGGCGAACGGGUGAGUAACACGUGGGUAACCUGCCCAUCAGCGGGGGAUAACACUUGGAAACAGGUGCUAAUACCGCAUAAUUCCAUUUACCGCAUGGUAAAUGGAUGAAAGGCGCUUUUGCGUCACUGAUGGAUGGACCCGCGGUGCAUUAGCUAGUUGGUGGGGUAACGGCCUACCAAGGCUGCGAUGCAUAGCCGACCGGAGAGGGUGAUCGGCCACACUGGGACUGAGACACGGCCCAGACUCCUACGGGAGGCAGCAGUAGGGAAUCUUCGGCAAUGGACGCAAGUCUGACCGAGCAACGCCGCGUGAGUGAAGAAGGUUUUCGGAUCGUAAAACUCUGUUGUUAGAGAAGAACAAGGAUGAGAGUGGAAAGUUCAUCCCUUGACGGUAUCUAACCAGAAAGCCACGGCUAACUACGUG